Molecule: signal recognition particle RNA, 134 nt
Filed under: Chlorocebus sabaeus (green monkey)
Lineage: Eukaryota; Metazoa; Chordata; Mammalia; Primates; Cercopithecidae
Description: Metazoan signal recognition particle RNA
Rfam family: MIR1846 microRNA precursor family (bases 47-133)
Source: Rfam by way of RNAcentral
GCCGGGCGCGGUGGCUCACGCCUGUAAUCCCAGCACUUUGGGAGGCCGAGGCGGGCGGAUCACGAGGUCAGGAGAUCGAGACCAUCCUGGCAGGAUGGUCUCGAUCUCCUGACCUCGUGAUCCGCCCGCCUCGG